GUCUGCUAUGGUCUGCCCCACCAUUGUAUUUCAGAAGUACAUAACAUAUUUGAUUUCAUAGCUGGCAGAAGGCUUUGUCUCGGGAUGAAUUGUACUCUGAGUCUCACCCAUAUCUGAUUUAGAAGGUAUUUAGAUGAGUCUCUAGGGUUUUGGAUUUUUAAGUGCAUGCUAGCACAGGUUAGGACUUUUGGAGCUAUUGAGAUGGAAUGGAAAAAAUUUUUAUGUGAGGACACAAACUAGGAGGUAAGGGGGUGGGGUGCUAAGUUUUGGAUGUUUGUUUCUUUCAAAAGUUAAUUUACUAGAAAUAUUGUAAUGGUAUUAAGAGGUGUGGCCUUUGGGAGACAAGUAGAUCAUGAGGGCUCCACCUUCAUAAAUGAGAUUAGAGCUUUUAUAAGAGUUCAAAAAGAGCUUGUUUACCCUUCUGCUGCAUGAGUGCAGCUAGAAGGUGCCAUUUGUAAGUGCUCAUACCUACUGUGGAAGACAGGAUUUUUUUUGGUAAAGAAGGGUUUGAGGAGAAUGUCACAAUAAGAGCUUGAAGAUUUGAAGAAAAUGAAUGGGUGCAAAAAAUGAAAGUAUUAGAAGGCACAUCACCAUAGACUAUCCAUCCUCUUAAAAUACAAACCAAAGAGGUCAAGUGAUUUGGAUAUAUCUUGAAUUGCUGAGCUGUGCACAAAUGAUAGUAAAUUCUGGACACUGUGAAUCUUGAGUAGAAUUCGAAUCUAAAAGCACUAUUUCUUUUUUUAGUUCUAUUUUGGAGGCUCAACAUUUUGUUCUAUUUAGGAGUUCUUUCAAAGUCAUCUCUCAAGACCCAGUUCUAGAGUUACCAUCUCAGCUGAUACACCAUGUGCUCCAGGAAAUGCUCCCUUUUCUCUCCAUAAUAUCACCAUCCAGGGUCUUCCAGCAAGUGGGCUGGGCCAUAUCCCCCAGUGCUGGGUGCUGCCCUCAUGUCUGACAGCUGCUGAGUAGACAAAGGAAGAGGCGACUGUCAGAUAGAUGUCCUUUGAAGAGCUCUUCUUUCUCAAACGCCUGUGUCAUUUGAUUUGAAGCAAUUGUGCCACAUUUGAGACUCAUCUCUCCUAAGAAAACAUGAAAGUGAUCAUUAACGAGGAC
RNAcentral lists this long non-coding RNA (1110 nucleotides) under Heterocephalus glaber (naked mole-rat). Its description in RNAcentral is "lncRNA (ENSHGLG00000041097.1)". Lineage: Eukaryota; Metazoa; Chordata; Mammalia; Rodentia; Bathyergidae. The record is from RNAcentral.